This 1534-nucleotide long non-coding RNA is filed under the name Chrysemys picta bellii (western painted turtle). RNAcentral describes it as "lncRNA (ENSCPBG00000018820.1)". Lineage: Eukaryota; Metazoa; Chordata; Testudines; Emydidae. The record is from RNAcentral.
CCCCUCUGAUACUUUACACCUUCUUUGUGUGCCAAGAAUGGGUUUCCUCCUGGUAUUACAUAAAUAUACUAUAUACUCAGAGGAAAUUGAAUGCACUUCAGAGUUUCCCUCCCUUCCCAUCAGCUUCAGCCCUUCACUCUCAGGAGUCAAACAACCUCUGUGGUGGUUUUAUGUAAAACAAAGGACCGAGAGCUUGUUGUCGCUCACAUUCUUAUCUAAUUCUGCUCAUGGGCUCCCAUUGACAUCGCUGUCUUGGUAUCUCAGCCAAACUUGUUGCCAAAUAACAGGUAAAAAAUGGAGAACCCGAAUGACAACCAGAUAUUGUCUUGAUCUGUGCUUGCCUGAAGAAGAAAAAAAACUAACUCAUGAAAAUAAACUGUGUAUUUUAGUGCUGCUGACUUGUAUCAUUCUCUGCUGCCACAGUACAGUUGGGCAUGAGGAUAAAAGAAUUCCGAACUAGAAUACAGAGACAGUGUGUGAACCUGUAUAUGCUUGCAGAUUUGUACACACAUGUCUAUGUUGUUGCUCAGCCCAUGAUUGCAGCAGCUAGCUGUAUAUGAGUUAGAUAUUUUAUCUAUUCCAGCCUGCUCUUGCAGUAGCCUCUAUCUUUCUUGAGACUUUGGUAGCAUGUCUUUUUUUUUAAACAAUUUGUUCAUUAAUGCAGCAGUAAUCAUGAAAAUAGGUCACAGCCCUUUUGGAGUUAAGCUGUUAUGUCCCCACAGAGAACAGCACUUAAAUAUCAAUAGCGUAACCGGGAAAACUCGGCAGUUAUUUCCCUGUUUUCUGCAGCUCAAUGAGGAGUUGUUCGAUGCAGACCCCAUUGCACUCAGGAUGAAUGGUGGUGAUUGUGAGAAAAUGAUCUCCUAUUAAUGCAAGAUGUCACAGUGAGAACAAAGACUAGUUUUUACCAUGAUGUGAUGAGCUCACCCUAGCCCCAAUUCUGGAGACUUUGAUACUGGUCCAGGUGCCAGCUUUUGCAUAUGUGACAUACCAGGGAAAACGCUAUAAAACGUUGAACAGGGCAUUAAAUAUUGAUUCAUGGCAUUUGAAUCCCAAGGUCAUAUGGGGUGAGAUGGUAAUUAUGACAUUUUGCAUACUAUUUCCCUCUGCAACCCCCACACCAUCCCAAUAAUGUAAUCUUUAACAGAGCUAAGACAAUCAUAUUCUAAUUUAGAAAAAAGAAGUCUAUCACAAUAUAGUAAAAACAAAAAAAGUUCAAGAGUUUUUAAUUGCAAAAUUGCUUCAGUUUUUACUGGCAUAAACAUCUAUCAGGAGUCAGUGUAUUUCAGAUUAAAGAUUUCUGCCAACUUUUCCACAGCACACAUCCUCCUUGUUUCUACUCUGGGAUUUUGUUUUCUUCUCAGGAAGGUCCUGGCAUGAAAUGCUGUGAAGUUGUGUCAUUCCCCUACACAUAUGACCACUCAUGUAACAGAGCAGCAGUGUGAAGGAGCGGCACUCACAGGCUGUUUUGGGCUGCUUGUUGCUGUGGACUCAGCAAUAUUUUUUUAAUAAAAUAUAUAAUUUAUCAAAAACA